CCUACGGGGGGCAGCAGUGAGGAAUAUUGGUCAAUGGACGAGAGUCUGAACCAGCCAAGUAGCGUGAGGGAUGACUGCCCUAUGGGUUGUAAACUUCUUUUAUAUGGGAAUAAAACGUUCCACGUGUGGGAUUUUGUAUGUACCAUAUGAAUAAGGAUCGGCUAACUCCGUGCCAGCAGCCGCGGUAAUACGGAGGAUCCGAGCGUUAUCCGGAUUUAUUGGGUUUAAAGGGAGCGUAGGUGGAUUGUUAAGUCAGUUGUGAAAGUUUGCGGCUCAACCGUAAAAUUGCAGUUGAAACUGGCAGUCUUGAGUACAGUAGAGGUGGGCGGAAUUCGUGGUGUAGCGGUGAAAUGCUUAGAUAUCACGAAGAACUCCGAUUGCGAAGGCAGUUCACUGGACUGCAACUGACACUGAGGCUCGAAAGUGUGGGUAUCAAACAGGAUUAGAUACCCGUGUAGUC
This 460-nucleotide ribosomal RNA is filed under the name uncultured bacterium. RNAcentral describes it as "partial 16S ribosomal RNA". It matches the Rfam family "Bacterial small subunit ribosomal RNA", at positions 338 to 795 of the family's 1533-position model. The record is from RNAcentral.